This 199-nucleotide ribosomal RNA is filed under the name uncultured bacterium. RNAcentral's name for it is "partial 16S ribosomal RNA". It matches the Rfam family "Bacterial small subunit ribosomal RNA", at positions 1300 to 1500 of the family's 1533-position model. The record is from RNAcentral.
GCAGGCUGCAACUCGCCUGCAUGAAGUCGGAAUUGCUAGUAAUCGCGGAUCAGCAUGCCGCGGUGAAUACGUUCCCGGGCCUUGUACACACCGCCCGUCACACCAUGGGAGUCGGUAACACCCGAAGCCGAUAGUCUAACGAAAGAGGACGUCGUCGAAGGUGGGAUUGAUGACUGGGGUGAAGUCGUAACAAGGUACC